GACAGAGGCCACAAGCGUUAGGCGGAAUCACUGGGCUUAAAGCGCGUGUAGGUGGGCCAGCAAGUACCUUGUGAAAUCCCAUAGCUCAACUAUGGAACUGCUUGGUAUACUGCUGGUCUUGAGCCAUCUAGGGGCUACUGGAACAAACGGUGGAGCGGUGAAAUGCGUAGAUAUCGUUUGGAACGCCGACGGUGAAAACAGAUGACUGGGGACCUGCUGACGCUGAGACACGAAAGCCAGGGGAGCAAACGGG
Molecule: ribosomal RNA, 253 nt
Filed under: uncultured bacterium
Lineage: Bacteria
Description: partial 16S ribosomal RNA
Rfam family: Bacterial small subunit ribosomal RNA
Source: RNAcentral